Molecule: signal recognition particle RNA, 104 nt
Filed under: Sinorhizobium medicae WSM419
Lineage: Bacteria; Pseudomonadati; Pseudomonadota; Alphaproteobacteria; Hyphomicrobiales; Rhizobiaceae
Description: SRP RNA; RNA component of signal recognition particle
Rfam family: Bacterial small signal recognition particle RNA
About the family: The signal recognition particle (SRP) is a universally conserved ribonucleoprotein involved in the co-translational targeting of proteins to membranes. Archaeal SRP consists of a 7S RNA and homologues of the eukaryotic SRP19 and SRP54 proteins. In most bacteria, the SRP consists of a 4.5S RNA and the Ffh protein (a homologue of the eukaryotic SRP54 protein).
Source: RNAcentral
GGGAGGUUGGUGGUGGACGAGCCACUCGCCAACCGGGUCAGGUCCGGAAGGAAGCAGCCCUAACGAGCCCCGGCACGGGUCACCGUGCCAGCCUCCCACCUUCU